GAUGAACGCUGGCGGCGUGCCUAAUACAUGCAAGUCGAGCGAACGGACGAGAAGCUUGCUUCCCUGAUGUUAGCGGCGGACGGGUGAGUAACACGUGGAUAACCUACCUAUAAGACUGGGAUAACUUCGGGAAACCGGAGCUAAUACCGGAUAAUAUUUUGAACCGCAUGGUUCAAAAGUGAAAGGCGGUCUUGCUGUCACUUAUAGAUGGAUCCGCGCUGCAUUAGCUAGUUGGUAAGGUAACGGCUUACCAAGGCAACGAUGCAUAGCCGACCUGAGAGGGUGAUCGGCCACACUGGAACUGAGACACGGUCCAGACUCCUACGGGAGGCAGCAGUAGGGAAUCUUCCGCAAUGGGCGAAAGCCUGACGGAGCAACGCCGCGUGAGUGAUGAAGGUCUUCGGAUCGUAAAACUCUGUUAUUAGGGAAGAACAUAUGUGUAAGUAACUGUGCACAUCGUGACGGUACCUAAUCAGAAGGCCACGGCUAACUACG
RNAcentral lists this ribosomal RNA (495 nucleotides) under uncultured bacterium. RNAcentral's name for it is "partial 16S ribosomal RNA". It matches the Rfam family "Bacterial small subunit ribosomal RNA", at positions 28 to 505 of the family's 1533-position model. The record is from RNAcentral.